This is a long non-coding RNA of Oryzias melastigma (Indian medaka), 1755 nucleotides long. RefSeq lists it as uncharacterized. NCBI's taxonomy places the organism in Eukaryota, Metazoa, Chordata, Actinopteri, Beloniformes, Adrianichthyidae. The transcript has 2 exons. The record is from RefSeq and is a predicted model, not a curated record.
UUUUGCAUUGAUGGUGAAACUUUCAUUUGUUUGAUUAGCGAAAAUAAAAAGAUAAAUGAAGGUCUAUGUUUGGAUAAAAGUGACGUUUUUCUGAAGUUUUAGAGUUUGGGAUUAAUCCGAAACCCGGAAAGAUGGAACUUCAGCGGGUUUGGAGGAACAUUGGAAGAUCUUUUGGCUCUCAAGGUCUGCUCCGCCUGCUGACUGGGCCAGUCCAGGCGGCACAUGUGUCCCAUGGUGCCGUUGAUCUUUGGGAAAGACUUGAGGACGCUGAAGACGGGAUACGGCACCAUGAUCAGCAGUGAUACGACCCAGGUGGCGGCGAUGACACGGUAGGCGUGGGAGCGGGUCUGCCACGCGCGGGAUUGCAGUGGGUUACAGAUGGCGCUGUAGCGCUCGAUGGCGAUGGCCACCAGGCUGAAGGUGGAGAUGCUAACAGAAACCCCUGCAAGAAGAAAACGUCUGUUAGCCAUUUUAUAUCAUCAAUUCAUAGUAAUAUGUUGAUUUAAAUCUCAGUUUGAACCAGUUUCAUUAACUUACAGACUGUUUUUUUUAGGAGAAUUAAUAAAAAAGUACAAUAAAGUAAAAUGACAUUUAUUCUUCAGUGAGAACUUUCUCUUAAAACUAAUUUUCUGUGUGAAAGCACAACAUAUUAUUCAUGUCAUGUUUCUGAGAGAUUUUGUUCUGUAGCUUAUCUGUGACACAAUAGGGACUCAUAAUGAAGUUUCAAUAGCUGUUUAUCUUUGUGACCUACAGUACGGCCCAAAAUCCACUUUAAUUAGGUUGGAGAAUGUCCUUGUUUUUUAUCUAGAAAGUCAAAAUGAGGUAGGAAGUAGACUUUUUUUUUUAAGUACAAACUUUUUUUUACCUUUUUUUUUUUUUUUUUUUUUUAAUUCGGUAAAAAUGCUUUACCUUUUAUCAUAUUUAUCUUAAUAUACAAAAGGCUGAUUCCAAACAUUUUUAUAUUGUAGCAUUAAUGACAAUUUUUGUUGUCUCUGGUCAAAACUUUACAAAGUAGCAUUUGAAGGAAAUGUGUUUCAGGACGUAGUAGGUCUGUUACCCCCUUUUAUUUACCCAUUUUGGUAUAUUUCUUAACAUUUUUACCUCUUUCAAUGUCAAAUACUGUAAAUUAAAGAAAUUAUUGGUCUGUUAUUUGCACCUACGGUAUAUGCUUGAAAUAGUCUUCGCAGCUCAGUUGGAUUAUUUGUAACUGGCAACAGCAGCUAAAUUAGACCGACUGUGAGGGCAGCGACAGUAAAACAAAACAAACAAAACAAAGGAAAGACAGGCAAUGAGCCAAUAUUAAUAUAAAUUAAUGGCCUGUAGCUGAUCUGUUUCCACACAGUUGACGACUAAAGAAAGGAUGUGAAAGGGCCCAACAGGAGCUGAUGUCUUUAGAGGCGUCAAAGGCCAAGCUCAGAUUUGCAUGUAUGAAUAUGUAUGUUCUGCAGAGGAGGAGCAAACUCCGCCGGUGUUUGGACGGAGAGUCCGGGUGGAACGUUAAAAUAUCUGCACAUUCCCAGUCUGUGAGAAACUCGAAACAGGCAUUUCCCUGUUUAAACAUUAAUCCCGAUUCCCCGUCCUUUAACGACGGAAGAACACGUCCUGCCUGGAGCCCGGAUUUUUUAUUAUCACUCACGAGAGGAAGUCAUUACUGCUCUCAUUCUGCUACGACGAGUGCGUUCGGUUUUCCAGGAAACGUGUAAAUCUGUCGAAACUGGUUUGCUGCAGGUCUGUCUUUCAAGCUCAAGUCUAAAA